This 346-nucleotide ribosomal RNA is filed under the name uncultured bacterium. Its description in RNAcentral is "partial 16S ribosomal RNA". It matches the Rfam family "Bacterial small subunit ribosomal RNA", at positions 338 to 681 of the family's 1533-position model. The record is from RNAcentral.
CCUACGGGAGGCAGCAGUGAGGAAUAUUGGUCAAUGGACGAGAGUCUGAACCAGCCAAGUAGCGUGAAGGAUGACUGCCCGAUGGGUUGUAAACUUCGUUUAUAUGGGAAUAAAAUGUUCCACGUGUGGGAUUUUGUAUGUACCAUAUGAAUAAGGAAAGGCUAACUCCGGGCCAGCAGCCGCGGUAAUAAGGAGGAUCCGAGCGUUAACCGGAUUUAUUGGGUUUAAAGGGAGCGGAGGUGGCUUGUUAAGUCAGUUGUGAAAGUUUGCGGCUCCACCGUAAAAUUGCAGUUGAAACGGGCAGUCUUGAGUACAGUAGAGGUGAGCGGAAUUCGUGGUGUAGCGG